GAUGAACGCUGGCGGCGUGCCUAAUACAUGCAAGUCGAGCGAACAGACGAGGAGCUUGCUCCUCUGACGUUAGCGGCGGACGGGUGAGUAACACGUGGAUAACCUACCUAUAAGACUGGGAUAACUUCGGGAAACCGGAGCUAAUACCGGAUAAUAUAUUGAACCGCAUGGUUCAAUAGUGAAAGACGGUUUUGCUGUCACUUAUAGAUGGAUCCGCGCCGCAUUAGCUAGUUGGUAAGGUAACGGCUUACCAAGGCGACGAUGCGUAGCCGACCUGAGAGGGUUAUCGGCCACACUGGAAAUUAACACCCGUCCAGACUCCUACGGGGAGCCGCAGUAGGGAAUCUUCCGCAAUUGGCGAAAGCCUGACGGGGCCACGCCGCGUGAGUGAUGAAGGUCUUCGGAUCGUAAAACUCUGUUAUUAGGGAAGAACAAAUGUGUAAGUAACUAUGCACGUCUUGACGGUACCUAAUCAGAAAGCCACGGCUAACUACGUG
Molecule: ribosomal RNA, 497 nt
Filed under: uncultured bacterium
Lineage: Bacteria
Description: partial 16S ribosomal RNA
Rfam family: Bacterial small subunit ribosomal RNA
Source: RNAcentral